CUUAAAUUGAAGAGUUUGAUCAUGGCUCAGAUUGAACGCUGGCGGCAGGCCUAACACAUGCAAGUCGAACGGUAGCACAGAGAGCUUGCUCUCGGGUGACGAGUGGCGGACGGGUGAGUAAUGUCUGGGAAACUGCCCGAUGGAGGGGGAUAACUACUGGAAACGGUAGCUAAUACCGCAUAACGUCGCAAGACCAAAGUGGGGGACCUUCGGGCCUCACACCAUCGGAUGUGCCCAGAUGGGAUUAGCUAGUAGGUGGGGUAACGGCUCACCUAGGCGACGAUCCCUAGCUGGUCUGAGAGGAUGACCAGCCACACUGGAACUGAGACACGGUCCAGACUCCUACGGGAG
This 351-nucleotide ribosomal RNA is filed under the name Salmonella enterica subsp. enterica. RNAcentral's name for it is "bacterial SSU rRNA". It matches the Rfam family "Bacterial small subunit ribosomal RNA", at positions 1 to 347 of the family's 1533-position model. Lineage: Bacteria; Pseudomonadati; Pseudomonadota; Gammaproteobacteria; Enterobacterales; Enterobacteriaceae. The record is from RNAcentral.